Molecule: long non-coding RNA, 177 nt
Organism: Rhagoletis zephyria (snowberry fruit fly)
Lineage: Eukaryota; Metazoa; Arthropoda; Insecta; Diptera; Tephritidae
Source: RefSeq, a predicted model, not a curated record
UUCAGCCAUUUGCAAAUCUUAUACGGACCUUUCCAGUUACGUCAUUGUUUGGAGGUGAAGCCUUGCUUUCGCUGCGGCUUGUACAUCAACACAAAAUCGCCUUCCUGGAAAUCCUCUCGGCUCUAUGCGUUACUGGACAUUGCUUCCGGCUUAUCUCCGGGAGUGCACCACCUCACA